GUGCUUAAUAAGUAUGUGUGGCCUUUCUCAUCUUGAAAGAGGAAGGCCGUUUUUUCUCUGUCUUAUUAACAAGGUGUUUGCUUUCUGUCUACCACACAGUAGAAUUUUUUAUUUUUUAUUGGACCAUUAUGUGCUAAAGACAGUUUUGCCGACAGUUUUGCCUGAAAAUCACUCAAGGUCAUCGUUUUCUAAAAAUGGAUUCUUCAGUCAUUCUUAUCAAGUAUUGUAUAACCUUAAAUCUUUAGUUCCAUUAUAUCGGAAAACAGGAGAAAACGC
Pelobates cultripes (western spadefoot toad) is the source of this 276-nucleotide non-coding RNA. The record is from the annotation of a GenBank genome assembly. Lineage: Eukaryota; Metazoa; Chordata; Amphibia; Anura; Pelobatidae.